AUCACACAGGUGCUGCAUGGCUGUCGUCAGCUCGUGUCGUGAGAUGUUGGGUUAAGUCCCGCAACGAGCGCAACCCUUGGCUCUAGUUGCUAACAGGUUUGGCUGAGCACUUUAGAGUAACUGCCGGUGACAAGCCGGAGGAAGGUGGGGAUGACGUCAAGUCCUCAUGGCCCUUAUGGCCUGGGCUACACACGUAAUACAAUGGUGGUGACAAAGGGGAGCAAGUCUGUAAAGAUGAGCGAAUCCCAAAAAGCCACCUCAGUUCAGAUUGUCCUCUGCAACUCGAGGGCAUGAAGUUGGAAUCGCUAGUAAUCGUAGAUCAGCAUGCUACGGUGAAUACGUUCUCGGGUCUUGUACACACUGCCCGUCACACCAUGGGAGUUGGAUUUACCUUAAGCUGGUGAGCUAACCGCAAGGAGGCAGCCAAC
This 428-nucleotide ribosomal RNA is filed under the name uncultured Alphaproteobacteria bacterium. RNAcentral describes it as "bacterial SSU rRNA". It matches the Rfam family "Bacterial small subunit ribosomal RNA", at positions 1029 to 1457 of the family's 1533-position model. Lineage: Bacteria; Pseudomonadati; Pseudomonadota; Alphaproteobacteria. The record is from RNAcentral.